This 72-nucleotide transfer RNA is filed under the name Candidatus Woesearchaeota archaeon. RNAcentral's name for it is "tRNA-His". It matches the Rfam family "tRNA". From Rfam's summary of the family: Transfer RNA (tRNA) molecules are approximately 80 nucleotides in length. Their secondary structure includes four short double-helical elements and three loops (D, anti-codon, and T loops). Further hydrogen bonds mediate the characteristic L-shaped molecular structure. tRNAs have two regions of fundamental functional importance: the anti-codon, which is responsible for specific mRNA codon recognition, and the 3' end, to which the tRNAs corresponding amino acid is attached (by aminoacyl-tRNA synthetases). tRNAs cope with the degeneracy of the genetic code in two manners: having more than one tRNA (with a specific anti-codon) for a particular amino acid; and 'wobble' base-pairing, i.e. permitting non-standard base-pairing at the 3rd anti-codon position. The record is from RNAcentral. Lineage: Archaea; Nanobdellati; Candidatus Woesearchaeota.
GCUGCCAUAGUGUACCGGUUCGCAUAGAAGCCUGUGGAGCUUUUGGAGUGGGUUCAAUUCCCACUGGCGGCC